Molecule: ribosomal RNA, 253 nt
Filed under: uncultured bacterium
Lineage: Bacteria
Description: partial 16S ribosomal RNA
Rfam family: Bacterial small subunit ribosomal RNA
Source: RNAcentral
UACGUAGGGGGCAGGCGUUAUCCGGAUUUACUGGGUGUAAAGGGAGCGUAGACGGCGAUGCAAGUCUGAAGUGAAAGCCCGGGGCUCAACCCCGGGACUGCUUUGGAAACUGUAUGGCUGGAGUGCUGGAGAGGCAAGCGGAAUUCCUAGUGUAGCGGUGAAAUGCGUAGAUAUUAGGAAGAACACCAGUGGCGAAGGCGGCUUGCUGGACAGUAACUGACGUUGAGGCUCGAAAGCGUGGGGAGCAAACAGG